Non-coding RNA from Bos taurus (domestic cattle), 72 nucleotides. Lineage: Eukaryota; Metazoa; Chordata; Mammalia; Artiodactyla; Bovidae. The record is from Rfam.
UCCCUGAUGGUCCAGUAGCCAGGACUCAGCACUUUCACUGCUGGGGCCCAAGUUCCAUUCCUGGUCAGGGAA